UACGUAGGGGGCAAGCGUUGUCCGGAUUUAUUGGGCGUAAAGCGCUCGCAGGUGGUUCGUCGCGUCGUGCGUGAAAGACCCCGGCUCAACUGGGGGAGGUCGUGCGAUACGGGCGGACUGGAGGCCAGUAGGGGGAUGCGGAAUUCCGGGUGUAGUGGUGGAAUGCGUAGAGAUCCGGAGGAACACCAGCGGCGAAGGCGGCAUCCUGGACCAACACUGACGCUGAGUGAGCGAAAGCCAGGGGAGCAAACGGG
RNAcentral lists this ribosomal RNA (254 nucleotides) under uncultured bacterium. Its description in RNAcentral is "partial 16S ribosomal RNA". It matches the Rfam family "Bacterial small subunit ribosomal RNA", at positions 524 to 776 of the family's 1533-position model. The record is from RNAcentral.